AGCAGCCGCGGUAAUUCCAGCUCCAAUAGCGUAUAUUAAAGUUGUUGCAGUUAAAAAGCUCGUAGUUGAAUUUCGGGGUCAGUAGGUUGGUCGUGCCUAUGGUAUGUACUGGCCUUACUGAUUCCUCCCUCCUGACGAACUGUAAUGCCAUUAAUUUGGUGUUGCAGGGAAUCAGGACUGUUACUUUGAAAAAAUUAGAGUGUUUAAAGCAGGCUAACGCUUGAAUACAUUAGCAUGGAAUAAUGAAAUAGGACGUUGAACCUAUUUUGUUGGUUUCUAGGAUUGACGUAAUGAUUAAUAGGGAUAGUUGGGGGCAUUAGUAUUCAAUUGUCAGAGGUGAAAUUCUUGGAUUUAUUGAAGACUAACUACUGCGAAAGCAUUUGCCAAGGAUGUUUUCAUUAAUCAAGAACGAAAGUUAGGGGAUCGAAGACGAUCAGAUACCGUCGUAGUCUUAACCAUAAACUAUGCCGACUAGGGAUCGGAUGAUGUUAAUUUUUAAUGUACUCAUUCGCGCCUUACG
RNAcentral lists this ribosomal RNA (520 nucleotides) under uncultured Glomus. Its description in RNAcentral is "SSU rRNA". It matches the Rfam family "Eukaryotic small subunit ribosomal RNA", at positions 569 to 1092 of the family's 1831-position model. Lineage: Eukaryota; Fungi; Glomeromycota; Glomeromycetes; Glomerales; Glomeraceae. The record is from RNAcentral.